Molecule: transfer RNA, 69 nt
Filed under: Osteobrama belangeri (pengba)
Lineage: Eukaryota; Metazoa; Chordata; Actinopteri; Cypriniformes; Cyprinidae
Description: tRNA-Phe
Rfam family: tRNA
About the family: Transfer RNA (tRNA) molecules are approximately 80 nucleotides in length. Their secondary structure includes four short double-helical elements and three loops (D, anti-codon, and T loops).
Source: RNAcentral
GCAAGCGUAGCUUAAUAUAAAGCAUAACACUGAAGCUGUUAAGAUGAGCCGUAAAAGACUCCGCAUGCA